Molecule: long non-coding RNA, 784 nt
Filed under: Glycine max (soybean)
Lineage: Eukaryota; Viridiplantae; Streptophyta; Magnoliopsida; Fabales; Fabaceae
Description: long non-coding RNA (GMAX_LNC001232)
Source: RNAcentral
GCUAGUGCAAUUACCUCAUUUAAUGCCCCUCUUAUGUAUCUCCACAGUUAUAUAUAUCCAUCCAAAACAUGGAUAUAUCAAACCAAAAAUUUAUAUUUGUAUUAAUGUCCUAACUCUUUAUUAAUAGUACAAUAUCCUAAACCCAACACAUGAGACUUUAGUCCCUACCUUAAUUUACUACCCAAUUAUUAUAUAACAAGUAGGGUUCUUCCACCCAUUUUCUUCACCACCAUUCUCCAAAUUAAUGAAAAUGUAAAUAAUAAUUAAUGGAGUCCAAAAUCCGAUCAAUGUAUGCAAAUCAGUAAAUUCUGAGGCACAUGUUCCUACGUGUGUAUUUCUUUCUUACGAUGGCCAUGAAAGUCUAUUGAAAUGGUCUAUAUAUAUUAAAAUAUAUAUGCAAUUGUCCUUGACCCCACUAGCUAUCAAAUCCGAUUUCAAAGGGCAAGCGCAUCACCAAAACGGGUAUGAUUCUGGAGCAAGUUUCGUUUUAGGUUUUGGUGUUGUAGUUUUCUAUUGCUUUGGUCUUCUGGGUGGUGGUGGGUUGCUUUGGUCUUCUGCGCAGCAAUUUAGAGCAGGUCGAUGAUGAAGUUCGAGAGUGGGUAUAGUGUUGUAGGGGCUGUGUUCAAUAGUAAAAGGAUGGAAAUAAAUUGGAAAAGAGAACACAAUUUUGUUUUUAUUCUUGCCCUACAACCGUUAAAGGGUUAUAAUAGAAUUUUAUUAUGAACUAUCAUAAAACUUCAAAUCAUAUUCACAAAAAAAAAACAGGUCAAGCUAUAUAUAUAUA